CCUACGGGAGGCAGCAGUGGGGAAUAUUGCGCAAUGGGCGAAAGCCUGACGCAGCGACGCCGCGUGAGGGAUGAAGGUCUUCGGAUCGUAAACCUCUGUCAGCAGGGAAGAACGGUCACUGUGCUAAUCAGCAGUGAAUUGACGGUACCUGCAAAGGAAGCACCGGCUAACUCCGUGCCAGCAGCCGCGGUAAUACGGAGGGUGCGAGCGUUAAUCGGAAUUACUGGGCGUAAAGCGCUCGUAGGCGGUAUGUCAAGUCAAGGGUGAAAUCCCCGCGCUCAACGUGGUAACUGCCUUUGAAACUGGCAAACUGGAGUGUGUGAGAGGAUAGUGGAAUUCCAGGUGUAGGAGUGAAAUCCGUAGAUAUCUGGAGGAACAUCAGUGGCGAAGGCGACUAUCUGGAACAUAACUGACGCUGAGGAGCGAAAGCGUGGGUAGCAAACAGGAUUAGAUACCCCAGUAGUC
RNAcentral lists this ribosomal RNA (465 nucleotides) under uncultured bacterium. RNAcentral's name for it is "partial 16S ribosomal RNA". It matches the Rfam family "Bacterial small subunit ribosomal RNA", at positions 338 to 795 of the family's 1533-position model. The record is from RNAcentral.